Molecule: ribosomal RNA, 407 nt
Filed under: uncultured Sporichthya sp.
Lineage: Bacteria; Bacillati; Actinomycetota; Actinomycetes; Sporichthyales; Sporichthyaceae
Description: bacterial SSU rRNA
Rfam family: Bacterial small subunit ribosomal RNA
Source: RNAcentral
AGUGGGGAAUAUUGCGCAAUGGGCGAAAGCCUGACGCAGCGACGCAGCGUGAGGGACGAAGGCCUUCGGGUUGUAAACCUCUUUCAGCGGGGACGAAGCGAAAGUGACGGUACCCGCAGAAGAAGCACCGGCUAACUACGUGCCAGCAGCCGCGGUAAUACGUAGGGUGCAAGCAUUGUCCGGAUUUAUUGGGCGUAAAGAGCUCGUAGGCGGCUUGUCACGUCGGAUGUGAAAACUCGGGGCUCAACCCCGAGCCUGCAUUCGAUACGGGCUAGCUAGAGUGUUGCAGGGGAGACUGGAAUUCCUGGUGUAGCGGUGAAAUGCGCAGAUAUCAGGAGGAACACCGGUGGCGAAGGCGGGUCUCUGGGCAACUACUGACGCUGAGGAGCGAAAGCGUGGGGAGCGAA